GAAUGCUGACAUAAGUAACGAUAAAGCGGGUGAAAAGCCCGCUCGCCGGAAGACCAAGGGUUCCUGUCCAACGUUAAUCGGGGCAGGGUGAGUCGACCCCUAAGGCGAGGCCGAAAGGCGUAGUCGAUGGGAAACGGGUUAAUAUUCCCGUACUUGGUGUUACUGCGAAGGGGGGACGGAGAAGGCUAUGUUGGCCGGGCGACGGUUGUCCCGGUUUAAGCGUGUAGGUGUGUGUUCCAGGUAAAUCCGGUUCACUUUAACACUGAGGCGUGACGACGAGG
This 281-nucleotide ribosomal RNA is filed under the name Salmonella enterica subsp. enterica. RNAcentral's name for it is "partial 23S ribosomal RNA". It matches the Rfam family "Bacterial large subunit ribosomal RNA", at positions 1292 to 1574 of the family's 2925-position model. The record is from RNAcentral. RNAcentral also lists the same sequence under 1 other name. Lineage: Bacteria; Pseudomonadati; Pseudomonadota; Gammaproteobacteria; Enterobacterales; Enterobacteriaceae.